GAAAUGCGAUAAGUAAUGUGAAUUGCAGAAUUCAGUGAAUCAUCGAAUCUUUGAACGCACAUUGCGCCCGCCAGAAUUCUGGCGGGCAUGCCUGUUCGAGCGUCAUUUCAACCCUCGAGCUCCCCUUUCGGGGGGAGCCCGGCGUUGGGGACCCGGCGCUAACAACGCCGGCCCCGAAAUGGAGUGGCGGCCCGUCCGCGGCGACCUCUGCGUAGUAACAACCACUCGCACCGGGACCCGGGCGCAGCCACGCCGUAAAACACCCCACCUUCCGAAUGUUGACCUCGAAUCAGGUAGGAAUACCCGCUGAACUUAAGC
This 318-nucleotide unclassified non-coding RNA is filed under the name plant metagenome. RNAcentral describes it as "partial contains 5.8S ribosomal RNA, internal transcribed spacer 2, and large subunit ribosomal RNA". The stretch from base 1 to 105 matches the Rfam family "5.8S ribosomal RNA", at positions 50 to 154 of the family's 154-position model. The record is from RNAcentral.